GCAUUAAUGGGGUAGCGGUAACCUGGGUCGUUGCCAUGGGCCGUAACUGGUGACUAUUUCUCGACCCGCCGGGGGUUCGAUUCCCCUUUAAUGCA
Mycena galopus ATCC 62051 is the source of this 95-nucleotide non-coding RNA. Lineage: Eukaryota; Fungi; Basidiomycota; Agaricomycetes; Agaricales; Mycenaceae. The record is from the annotation of a GenBank genome assembly.